CCUACGGGAGGCAGCAGUGGGGAAUAUUGCACAAUGGGCGCAAGCCUGAUGCAGCGACGCCGCGUGAGCGAUGAAGGCCUUCGGGUCGUAAAGCUCUGUCCUAAGGGAAGAAUAAUGACGGUACCUUAGGAGGAAGCCCCGGCUAACUACGUGCCAGCAGCCGCGGUAAUACGUAGGUGGCGAGCGUUAUCCGGAAUCACUGGGCGUAGAGGGUGCGUAGGCGGCCCUGCAAGUCAGGAUUUAAUUCCAUCGGUGCAACGGAGGUCAGCUCUUGAAACUGUAGGGCUUGAGUGUAGGGGAGGGUAGCGGAAUUCGUAGUGUAGAGGUGAAAUGCGUAGAUAUUAGGAGGAAUACCAGUGGCGAAGGCGGCUCUCUGGACUGCAACUCACGCUGAGGUACGAAAGCGUGGGGAGCGAACAGUAUUAGAUAUCCCUGUAGUC
This 440-nucleotide ribosomal RNA is filed under the name uncultured bacterium. Its description in RNAcentral is "bacterial SSU rRNA". It matches the Rfam family "Bacterial small subunit ribosomal RNA", at positions 338 to 795 of the family's 1533-position model. The record is from RNAcentral.